This 497-nucleotide ribosomal RNA is filed under the name uncultured bacterium. Its description in RNAcentral is "partial 16S ribosomal RNA". It matches the Rfam family "Bacterial small subunit ribosomal RNA", at positions 28 to 507 of the family's 1533-position model. The record is from RNAcentral.
GACGAACGCUGGCGGCGUGCCUAAUACAUGCAAGUCGAGCGCUGAAGCUUGGUACUUGUACCCACUGGAUUAGCAGCGGACGGGUGAGUAACGCGUGGGGCAUCUUCCUUUGAGCCGGGGACAACAUCUGAAAACGACUGCUACUACCGCAUAAUAACUUUAACCACAAGUUUUAAGUUUGAAAGAUGCAAUUGCAUCACUCAAAGGUGAUCCCGCGUUGUAUUAGCUAGUUGGUGAGGUAAAGGCCCACCCAAGGGACGAUACAUAGUCUACCUGAGAGGGUGAAUGGCCACAACGGGACUGGGACACGGCCCAAACUCCCACGGGGAGCAGCAGUAGGGGAACUUCGGCAAUGGAGGGAAGGCUGGACGAGCAAAGCCGGGGGGGGGGAGGAGGGUUUCGGGUCGUAAAACCCUGUUGGUAGGGAAAAACGAUGGGGAGAGUGGAAAGCUCAUCAAGUGACGGUAACUACACAGAAAGGGACGGCUAACUACGUG